CGGGGUGUGGCGCAGCUUGGUAGCGCGUCUCGUUCGGGACGAGAAGGGCGCAGGUUCAAAUCCUGUCACCCCGACCA
Molecule: transfer RNA, 77 nt
Filed under: Clostridiales bacterium
Lineage: Bacteria; Bacillati; Bacillota; Clostridia; Eubacteriales
Description: tRNA-Pro
Rfam family: tRNA
About the family: Transfer RNA (tRNA) molecules are approximately 80 nucleotides in length.
Source: RNAcentral